Molecule: ribosomal RNA, 155 nt
Filed under: uncultured bacterium
Lineage: Bacteria
Description: partial 16S ribosomal RNA
Rfam family: Bacterial small subunit ribosomal RNA
Source: RNAcentral
UAAGGAAUAUUGGACAAUGGUCGCAAGACUGAUCCAGCCAUGCCGCGUGCAGGAUGACUGCCCUAUGGGUUGUAAACUGCUUUUAUACGGGAAUAAACCCUUGGACGUGUCCGAGGCUGAAUGUACCGUAAGAAUAAGGGUCGGCUAACUUCGUG